CAGAAACUACAAAGGAAGUUGACGGGGCCCGGCACAAGCGGUGGAGUAUGUGGUUUAAUUCGAUGCAACGCGAAGAACCUUACCUGGUCUUGACAUCCCGGAGACCCUUAGGAAACUAGGGGUGCUUCCAUCUGGAAGAAUCUGGAGACAGGUGCUGCAUGGCUGUCGUCAGCUCGUGUCGUGAGAUGUUGGGUUAAGUCCCGCAACGAGCGCAACCCUUGCCUUUAGUUGCCAGCAGUUCGGCUGGGCACUCUAAAGGGACUGCCGGUGUUAAACCGGAGGAAGGUGGGGAUGACGUCAAGUCCUCAUGGCCUUUAUGACCAGGGCUACACACGUACUACAAUGGCCGAUACAAAGGGCAGCGACACUGCGAGGUGAAGCCAAUCCCGUAAAAUCGGUCUCAGUCCGGAUUGGAGUCUGCAACUCGACUCCAUGAAGUUGGAAUCGCUAGUAAUCGUGGAUCAGCAUGCCACGGUGAAUACGUUCCCGGGCCUU
RNAcentral lists this ribosomal RNA (495 nucleotides) under uncultured Desulfobulbus sp. Its description in RNAcentral is "bacterial SSU rRNA". It matches the Rfam family "Bacterial small subunit ribosomal RNA", at positions 894 to 1382 of the family's 1533-position model. Lineage: Bacteria; Pseudomonadati; Thermodesulfobacteriota; Desulfobulbia; Desulfobulbales; Desulfobulbaceae. The record is from RNAcentral.